This 57-nucleotide transfer RNA is filed under the name Urocitellus parryii (Arctic ground squirrel). RNAcentral's name for it is "Spermophilus parryii (Arctic ground squirrel) tRNA". It matches the Rfam family "tRNA", at positions 8 to 63 of the family's 71-position model. From Rfam's summary of the family: Transfer RNA (tRNA) molecules are approximately 80 nucleotides in length. Their secondary structure includes four short double-helical elements and three loops (D, anti-codon, and T loops). Lineage: Eukaryota; Metazoa; Chordata; Mammalia; Rodentia; Sciuridae. RNAcentral also lists the same sequence under 2 other names. The record is from Rfam by way of RNAcentral.
UGGCUCAGUGAUAGAGCGCUCGCCUGGCACGUGUGAGGCACUGAGUUCAAUCCUCAG